RNAcentral lists this transfer RNA (80 nucleotides) under Araneus ventricosus. It matches the Rfam family "tRNA". Rfam says of the family: Transfer RNA (tRNA) molecules are approximately 80 nucleotides in length. Lineage: Eukaryota; Metazoa; Arthropoda; Arachnida; Araneae; Araneidae. The record is from Rfam by way of RNAcentral.
GGUAGCGUGGCCGAGUGGUCGAAGGAGCUGGUUUUAGGCACCAGUCUUUCGAGGCGUGGGUUCGAAACCCACCGCUGCCA